RNAcentral lists this ribosomal RNA (823 nucleotides) under Cassava frogskin disease phytoplasma. RNAcentral's name for it is "bacterial SSU rRNA". It matches the Rfam family "Bacterial small subunit ribosomal RNA", at positions 455 to 1286 of the family's 1533-position model. The record is from RNAcentral. Lineage: Bacteria; Bacillati; Mycoplasmatota; Mollicutes; Acholeplasmatales; Acholeplasmataceae.
AGUGGNAAAACUCCCUUGACGGUACUUAAUGAAUAAGCCCCGGCUAAUUAUGUGCCAGCAGCCGCGGUAAUACAUAAGGGGCGAGCGUUAUCCGGAAUUAUUGGGCGUAAAGGGUGCGUAGGCGGUUUAAUAAGUCUAUAGUUUAAUUUCAGUGCUUAACGCUGUUGUGCUAUAGAAACUGUUUUACUAGAGUGAGUUAGAGGCAAGCGGAAUUCCAUGUGUAGCGGUAAAAUGCGUAAAUAUAUGGAGGAACACCAGAGGCGUAGGCGGCUUGCUGGGACUUUACUGACGCUGAGGCACGAAAGCGUGGGGAGCAAACAGGAUUAGAUACCCUGGUAGUCCACACCGUAAACGAUGAGUACUAAGUGUCGGGUAAAACCGGUACUGAAGUUAACACAUUAAGUACUCCGCCUGAGUAGUACGUACGCAAGUAUGAAACUUAAAGGAAUUGACGGGACUCCGCACAAGCGGUGGAUCAUGUUGUUUAAUUCGAAGAUACACGAAAAACCUUACCAGGUCUUGACAUUUUCUUGCGAAGUUAUAGAAAUAUAAUGGAGGUUAUCAGGAAAACAGGUGGUGCAUGGUUGUCGUCAGCUCGUGUCGUGAGAUGUUAGGUUAAGUCCUAAAACGAGCGCAACCCUUGUCGUUAAUUGCCAGCAUGUAAUGAUGGGGACUUUAACGAGACUGCCAAUGAAAAAUUGGAGGAAGGUGGGGAUUACGUCAAAUCAUCAUGCCCCUUAUGAUCUGGGCUACAAACGUGAUACAAUGGUUGAUACAAAGAGUAGCUGAAACGCGAGUUCUUAGCCAAUCUCACAAAAUCAUC